Molecule: long non-coding RNA, 1220 nt
Organism: Phascolarctos cinereus (koala)
Lineage: Eukaryota; Metazoa; Chordata; Mammalia; Diprotodontia; Phascolarctidae
Source: RefSeq, a predicted model, not a curated record
CGCGGGGCCAUGGCGCGCGCUGCCCGAGGUUGCAGGGGGUAGAACUUCAGGAGCUACUGGGCGCAGACCAGGUGAAGGAGAUUGGAGGCUACAACCUUGUAUGCUUUGAAAGAUCAGGAAAGCAAGCCACUAGGAGGUCUAGGAAUGGUGUCAAUGUUGGGGUUUGCAACCAUAGUUUUAAGACCCAGAGGAGCAAUGGACAAUUUCAGGACUCAGGCUAUUAAUAGCUGAGAAAGGAACUCAUUUAGCAUCAAUUAAGUAAUCAAACAAUAUGUUCUAGCUGUAAGUCUGACUACAACCAUUGAAGGAAAGAACAAUGAAAUAUUGUUCCAGCUGAAGGCACCUCAGAGAUCAUUUUGUGUCACCCUUCAUUUUUACAUUGUGCAAACUGAGAUGCAGAAGGUUGAAUAACCUGCUCACAUUCACACAAGUAGUUAGUGGCAAAAUUCUGAGUCAAUAUGAGGUCUCCUGACUCUAAGGCUAAUGUUCUUUCUGCUAAACUCAGCUGACUCCCUAAUCCAUCAUGUAUUUUUGCAAUUGCUUCUACCCUUGGCUUUCUUCCUGGAUCUGAUCAUAUGAUUGGGUCAUAAACUUUUUGGGAUUUUUUCCCCUGUUUUCAUAAAAAUGCUCCCAGUUCUGGAGAAGGAAGGAAGUCCUUGCAGUGGAUCAGUGGUAAGGUGUUUAUUUAAGUCAAAAUUAUCAACCGAAGGAACUUAACUAAAGAGUAAAUAUUUAUUAGCCUGAGCAGUCAAACAUGAUUGCUAUCUUGCCUUUUAAGAUGAACAGGAAAGAGAAUGACUCAUUUAAACAACUGUUUGCAGUAUUUAAUCUAAACUAACACACUAUAAUAUGUACAAUAGCUCAGGAUAUUACUUCAAUAUACUGCAAAAUAAUUUUAUAAUCAGAAAGAGCAAUGUUCUUCAUAAGUAAACCAUAUUUUGAAGGCUAAUCUAACCUUGAUUAACUAGAAUGCUGGGGAAAUUGUGCAUUCUAAUUAAUUACAUUUUUGGCCUGUGGGCUAACCAAAAAAAUUCUUUUUUGUUUUUGACUCUGGGGAUUGAUUUUUUUCUUAGGAUACAUUAGACCACUUCUUUUGUUUUAAAAGGUUUAGUGGAGUGUCCAUGGGUGAAUUUCUUUUUGAUGUCAAGAUUUCUUGCCUUUUCCUUUCAGAUCACCAUCAUCUACUCUGUAUAUAUCUUGUAAGUAUGCAGUUAUUGACA